CAGCAGCCGCGGUAACACGUAGGGAGCAAGCGUUGUUCGGAUUUACUGGGCGUAAAGGGCGCGUAGGCGGCGCGGUAAGUCACUUGUGAAAUCUCUGAGCUUAACUCAGAACGGCCAAGUGAUACUGCUGUGCUAGAGUGCGGAAGAGGCAACCGGAAUUCUUGGUGUAGCGGUGAAAUGCGUAGAUAUCAAGAGGAACACCUGAGGCGAAGGCGGGUUGCUGGGCCGACACUGACGCUGAUGCGCGAAAGCCAGGGGAGCAAACGGGAUUAGAUACCCCGGUAGUCCCUGUCUCUUAUAC
Molecule: ribosomal RNA, 301 nt
Filed under: uncultured bacterium
Lineage: Bacteria
Description: partial 16S ribosomal RNA
Rfam family: Bacterial small subunit ribosomal RNA
Source: RNAcentral